This 253-nucleotide ribosomal RNA is filed under the name uncultured bacterium. RNAcentral's name for it is "partial 16S ribosomal RNA". It matches the Rfam family "Bacterial small subunit ribosomal RNA", at positions 524 to 776 of the family's 1533-position model. The record is from RNAcentral.
UACGUAGGGUGCGAGCGUUAAUCGGAAUUACUGGGCGUAAAGCGUGCGCAGGCGGUUUUGUAAGACAGAGGUGAAAUCCCCGGGGUUAACCUGGGAACUGCCUUUGUGACUGCAAGGCUUGAGUGCGGCAGAGGGGGAUGGAAUUCCGCGUGUAGCAGUGAAAUCCGUAGAUAUGCGGAGGAACACCGAUGGCGAAGGCAAUCCCCUGGGCCUGCACUGUCGCGCAUGCACGAAAUCGUGGGGAGCAAACAGG